GGUUUGGCACGGAAACAAUGGCCAGCAAAGCUUGGUAAAUGAAGCCGCCUACACCGCCCGGCCCCUCCCUGCACGGCCGCGCACCGCCUCCGCUCCUAUCUCAAUCUGAAUUGUCCUCCUGCAGCCCCACCACCCACCGUGGGGAACCGGUGAAGAGACUACAACUCCUGGCAUGCACCGGGAGGCGGGUGUCGCCCCGCAUUCCCCCGCCCUGGGCUAGGCGCACAGCGCAGCCCGGAGCAGGCUGGCAUCCUAGACCCUCUGCCCUGCCAACAACAGAACAACAGCCGGGGAGUGGACCAGACCCCGGAACUCCCGAAGUUUCCUGAAGACGGUUCCGCUCCCUGCCUCGGCCUUCCAGGCAGCCCAGCAGUUUCGCCCUGCGGAGGGAAGCCUUUCUGUUCUCAAACCUCUCGUGCUGGGGAGGCAGUGGAGCUAGGGCGGCUAGUUUCCCCUUGUAAUUGUGACACCUUGUCUCCUCGAGCUGCAGGCGAAUGCUUGUCACGUUUGUAUUUUGAUUUCUCGCAGAUCAACAAAGGGCCGGUGGCCUCUCUCGGCCUCCGCCUGAGGGUUGCCAGGAUAACGCUCUUCCGCCAGACUUUGGGUGCGCCCCGCCCCUUUUCUCACACUGCCUCCUCCUCAGCCCCACCCUCUCUCGUUCCUCCCUUUCUAGCUUCCUUUCAGACAUGCGCAGUGCGGCCAUCCCAGUGGCGGGUUAAGGGCCGCGGACCUGGCAGUUCUCAGGCUUCUACAAGGGAGAAGCCCCCCUGCCAGGGUCUCGAUUUCCCGCUAACCAACAAAGGGCCAUUUGCCUCUCAUGGCCUGCGCGGGAGGGUUGCCAUGGAGCGCCGCUUGGUCCUUGGGCUCCCAGCGUGGCCCACACCUGGGUCGGGCCUCUCACGGGGACGCUCCCGCCACUGUAAUAAAGAGGAGAAAACGUCACAGGGGAAGGGCCUGACCCUGCUGCAUCCAGUAAAGAAACAGCCACAGGAAAGGGACCCCGUAAGCCACUUUGGGAGCCACAUCCACCACUUCUCUGACCCCACCCAGGCUGCUUCCCAGGCCUCGUGGUCCUAGUGUGGACCUCCUGGCCGUGAUUAACGCAGUUUUUUAGAUUAAGUACUGCACGACUGCUUGCUUCUGAAACUGUCACAGAAACUGCCUCAGCUCUCUGCAGGGUGGACACACAAGAGCAGAAUCUCCGUGGGACAUCUCUUUGGAGCAACAAUAUUACUACAGUAUUUGGAAGAAACAAAUUUAAAUAAUUUCUAAGGUAAAGAAUGGAACAUUUAAGACAAGGCUGGAAAGUCAUCUGCCUUUAAUAACUGUCAUCUGUGCCUCACAUGUCAGACUUUCUCCAAGAAAAAAACUCUAAGGAGAACUUAUUUCCAUUCUUAUAAAUAGUAAAAAUAAUAAAUCAUAUCAAGUCAA
Long non-coding RNA from Pongo pygmaeus (Bornean orangutan), 1431 nucleotides. RefSeq lists it as uncharacterized. The record is from RefSeq and is a predicted model, not a curated record. Lineage: Eukaryota; Metazoa; Chordata; Mammalia; Primates; Hominidae. The transcript has 3 exons.